CACACACACACACACACACACACACACAUAUAUAUAUAUAUAUAUAUCGCAUGUAUAUACUUUCCCUAUCGCAAGUCUAGUUGUAGUCGUAUAAACAGUUAUUUAUUUUGCUGUCAAAUAUACUUAUAUUAGGUGUUCCGGUUAGUUUUGAGGGUUCACUAUAGAUGGCUAUAGCUACAAAUCUACUGGAAACAUUUUAAAAAUGGGUACAUCUUGUCAAAGCUAGGACAUCUCUACAAACAAAUUGACACAUGUCCUGUGUAUUCGUAAACAUAAACACACUGUUUAGUGCGACUAAAUAUAGAACGUGAUAAAGAGCAUUUUCGGCAUCUAUUACUUUACUGCUUUGAUUCGAGAAAAACAGCUCCCGAAGCUAACCGAUUCAUCUCAGAAACUUAUUCUAAGUCUGCUCCAUCAGUUAAAACGUUGGGAAUUUGAAUAGGAAGUCUUAUCGCACGCCGCAUAUUCACCAGACUGUGCUACUUCAGAUUAUUACUUAUUUCGAUGCAGCACGGUCUUACUUAUCACUUCAAAACAUAUGAUGCAAUAAAGAAAUAGCUCGAUGAAUGGGUUGCUUCGAAAGAUGAAUAUUUUUAUUUUACCGCGGAAUCCACUUAUUGCCAGAAAAGUGAGAAAAAGUUGAAAAAGCUAACGGUGAAAAAAAUUUUUGAUUAAAAUAAUUUAAUGUCUCUAAAAUAUACGUGUUUCUUUUUUGCACAAAAUCCCUCAAAACUAACCGGAACACCUAAUAUAUAGAUCACAGAAUCUGUUUAAACAAUUAAAUGUUUAGUUAUAGUGCUACACAAAGAUAAUUUUGCUGUUCACUAAACGUUAACAGUUAACAGUUAACAGUUAAACGUUAACAGUUUACUAAAUGCUCACUAACGCUAAACAUUUAAACGUGUAUUCGCAAAACGGAUCAAAAUGGAAGCCCUGAUACAAACUUAUAUCCUUUAGCGAUUUCCAGAAUAUCCAGUACAUUCGAUCGUCGUAGAACAUAAUAUCACAUUCGAUAUAUUACAAAGAGUUAACAUUAUAAUGUUAUCGAAUAGAUUGGUUGAUACGGACGCCAAAUGAAUCGGUUGUCAGAGAAACAGAUAUGGGUAAGCAGCAAAGACGAAUAUUCGAUUAUUUUGUAGUGUAAAUCAAUUGUAGUGUAAAUGUUUUUGUAAAUCAAUAAUAUUGUCUCUCGUGUCUAAAAUAUAUUAGCUUAAUUUGUGAUCGACGAAAAGAUACAUAACACGUGUCUCAUCGAUACAAAAGAGGCACAGCAAGGGUUCGAGAUGAAGAAUGUUUGUAAUUUGAACCAACUCCGUUGCACCAUGAAACAUGAGUUUGAUUAAAUUCCAGGUGCUGAAAUGUAAGAAUGCAUCUUCUCAUAUCAGAUAACAGUUUCACGAGCAAUUUUGCUCUUUUUUUAUUGUUGCUGUGAUUACAAUAAUGACAAAUAUUUCUUGAGUAAAUAAAAAUUUCCGUGAAAGCACGUUAACCUACAAUAUUAUGUGUUAUGCCAGAGUAAAUCUCUGUUUGGAAUUUUGUUUAUCUGUUUUAUAUAUCUAUUGUAUAAACAUUGUAUAAAUAUAUUUUUAUGUAUAAAUCACAUUAUAUGAAAUUAUAUGGUAAACUGCGGCGAUUGUAGUUGA
Odontomachus brunneus is the source of this 1643-nucleotide long non-coding RNA. RefSeq lists it as uncharacterized. Lineage: Eukaryota; Metazoa; Arthropoda; Insecta; Hymenoptera; Formicidae. The transcript is spliced from 2 exons. The record is from RefSeq and is a predicted model, not a curated record.